Molecule: long non-coding RNA, 434 nt
Organism: Uranotaenia lowii
Lineage: Eukaryota; Metazoa; Arthropoda; Insecta; Diptera; Culicidae
Exons: 3
Source: RefSeq, a predicted model, not a curated record
UCCGACCCAACCAGGAGCUGGAGAUUUCCCGGAAGGAACCGUAAAAGGCAACCGGACAGUAGCUCCUCAAAAGAGGCCACCGGGAAAGGAUAGUUUAAACCUUACUUAAGUCACCUAUCAAUGGCUUCAAGAAAAAAGAUUCAGAUAAGGACGAACAGGAGACCAAUACUGCUGUUACUGGUAAAACUAAUACCAUUAUGGUAUGUGCCUGGCAGGUCUACAAGCCCCAAUCAUUCAACCAGAUGGUACUGGAACUCAAUUCCUCGGCCUCGGACCUCGAAAGAAUACCGACUAUAUGAGGACCAUCGAAAGCAUACCGACUAUAUGAGGUUCUGUAUCAUCUGGGAAUAACUGAGCAAGAUUAUACCGGCUGUGCAGUCACGCUGAACCCGGUGCAGGUUUGCACCGCUGGCAGCAGCACAGAUUCUUCCCCG